UGGGGAAUAUUGGGCAAUGGGCGCAAGCCUGACCCAGCCAUGCCGCGUGUGUGAAGAAGGCCCUAGGGUUGUAAAGCACUUUCAGCAGCGAAGAAAAGCUUAGGGUUAAUACCCCUGAGUCUUGACGUUAACUACAGAAGAAGCACCGGCUAACUCCGUGCCAGCAGCCGCGGUAAUACGGAGGGUGCGAACGUUAAUCGGAAUUACUGGGCGUAAAGCGCGCGUAGGCGGUUCGACAAGUGGGAUGUGAAAGCCCAGGGCUUAACCUUGGAACUGCAUUCCGAACUGUCGGGCUAGAGUAUGGUAGAGGGAGGUAGAAUUUCCUGUGUAGCGGUGAAAUGCGUAGAUAUAGGAAGGAAUACCGGUGGCGAAGGCGGCCUCCUGGACCAAUACUGACGCUGAGGUGCGAAAGCGUGGGGAGCAAACAGG
This 429-nucleotide ribosomal RNA is filed under the name uncultured bacterium. Its description in RNAcentral is "bacterial SSU rRNA". It matches the Rfam family "Bacterial small subunit ribosomal RNA", at positions 355 to 776 of the family's 1533-position model. The record is from RNAcentral.